GAGGGACUUAGGAGGAGGUAAUUGAAUCAUGGGGGCGGGUCUUUCCUGUGCUAUUCUCCUGAUAGCCAGUAAGUCUCACUAUCUGAUGGGUUUCUCAGGGGUUUCUGCUUUGGCUUCUUCCUCAUUUUCUCUUGCUGCUGCCUUGUAAGAAGUGCCUUUUGCCUCCCGCCAUGAUUCUGAGGCCUCCCCAGUCAUAUGGAAAUGUAAGUCCAAUUAAACCUCUUUUUGGUCCUGGACUCUGUUAUGUAUUUGUCAGCAGCAUGAAAACGGACUAAUACACUCUCAUUUCUGAGUGGGACACAUGCUGUCACUCACAUAUGCUGGUUGCUGACUUGUGACGGAAGAUUCUCUAUUGUACCCUCUGGGGACAAUACAUCUCCAGUUGCCUGCGGGGAGGAUGAAC
Molecule: long non-coding RNA, 403 nt
Filed under: Homo sapiens (human)
Lineage: Eukaryota; Metazoa; Chordata; Mammalia; Primates; Hominidae
Description: LHRI_LNC1748.1
Source: RNAcentral